RNAcentral lists this ribosomal RNA (308 nucleotides) under Providencia rettgeri. Its description in RNAcentral is "bacterial SSU rRNA". It matches the Rfam family "Bacterial small subunit ribosomal RNA", at positions 440 to 740 of the family's 1533-position model. Lineage: Bacteria; Pseudomonadati; Pseudomonadota; Gammaproteobacteria; Enterobacterales; Morganellaceae. The record is from RNAcentral.
UUGGGAGGAAGGCGUUGAUGCUAAUAUCAUCAGCGAUUGACGUUACCAACAGAAGAAGCACCGGCUAACUCCGUGCCAGCAGCCGCGGUAAUACGGAGGGUGCAAGCGUUAAUCGGAAUUACUGGGCGUAAAGCGCACGCAGGCGGUUGAUUAAGUUAGAUGUGAAAUCCCCGGGCUUAACCUGGGAAUGGCAUCUAAGACUGGUCAGCUAGAGUCUUGUAGAGGGGGGUAGAAUUCCAUGUGUAGCGGUGAAAUGCGUAGAGAUGUGGAGGAAUACCGGUGGCGAAGGCGGCCCCCUGGACAAAGAC